Molecule: long non-coding RNA, 386 nt
Organism: Molossus molossus (Pallas's mastiff bat)
Lineage: Eukaryota; Metazoa; Chordata; Mammalia; Chiroptera; Molossidae
Exons: 4
Source: RefSeq, a predicted model, not a curated record
GUGGUACCAUCUUUAUGAGUAACCGAGGACACGGGGACUUGGAAACAGCCAUAUUUAAGUAGCACCCAAGCAAUACAUCCCGAGAAGCUGGAAGUUUUAUGGACAAUGGAAAAAAAGACUGGCUUAAAUAUAAACCCAAGUGACCCUCUUCCUAAGUGCUAUUAAUUCAAUCGGGAUUCCUGGAAUGGAGAUAAAGCAACUGAGAAGCCCCAUUCUGGUCUCUGGUCAACAAAAGAACAGCAAACUCUCUUUUGCAGGCUUUGACAAAGCCAUAUGGAGAAGCCCUCAUGGCAAUGAACUGGGAGCAGCUCUGGCUAAUGACCAGAUAACAGCUGAAGCUUUCAUUCCAACAGCCCACAAGAUCUAAACCCUGCCAACAUUCAUGA